AAACGGCCGCGGUAUCCUAACCGUGCAAAGGUAGCGUAAUCWCUUGUCUUAUAAAUAAAGACCCGUAUGAAUGGCUAAAUGAGUAUUUAACUGUCUCCUUUAACUAAUCAGUGAAACUGAUUUCUYMRGUACAAAAGCUGAAAUAAAAACAUAAGACGAGAAGACCCUGUGGAGCUUUAAAUUUUAACAAAGUAUUAAAACAUAUUUAUGGUAAAAAAUUUUUAGUU
RNAcentral lists this ribosomal RNA (227 nucleotides) under Anolis tropidolepis. RNAcentral's name for it is "partial 16S ribosomal RNA". It matches the Rfam family "Bacterial large subunit ribosomal RNA", at positions 1925 to 2221 of the family's 2925-position model. Lineage: Eukaryota; Metazoa; Chordata; Lepidosauria; Squamata; Anolidae. The record is from RNAcentral.